UAUAUAUAAUAUAACACCACAUUUAAAAGGGGCAUACUUUAGGUAAACUUUGUUGAUAAUACUUAUGGAUAGUGCAUUAAUUAAGUAAAAUUAAGAGUGCGGGAGCUUUUAAACUGGUAAUUGAGUAUUGUUCCGUGUUAGUGUCAUAUAUGGGCAUUUAUAGUAAAAUAUUAUUUAUUGUAUCUGCUGGGAUCAAAGAAGCCAAGCAACACAUUUUCCCAUUGAAGUGAAACAAUAACAUGACAUUAUUAUUGGUACAAAACCAUCAACAUUUAAUUCAAUUUAAAAAUAAUGAUGAUAAAGAAUCAGACUGUCCCAUUUCCGGUGUCGGACUGCUGCGGCGGCGGAUGUUGAUGUUUUGCUCGGGAGCUAGCUGAACGAUGUGAACUGUACCGUCUCCGGGACGGUUGAUCUUUUUUUACAGUGGUUGUUCGUGGCGGUUCCACUCGUGCUUCUUUUUCCUCGGUAACGUUUCGCAGUGUCGUCGGCAUCGUGUCUGUCCCGGUGUCUCUCCCGGGGAGCGCGAGGCCGAGUCGUGCGAUGAUGGAGGACUUUGACGAGAUCUACGAAGAGGAGGAGGAGGAAGAGGAGGACGAGGACAGGGCCGCGGAGGAGCAGCUCCUCAAGUACGCUCCGGACCCGGUUGUGGUGCGAGGGUCCGGCCACGUCACUGUGACUUGAGCACGGAAUCAGAGGUGAUACUCGGUAGUAGCUUUUGAAGAGGUUUGGGCUUAGUAACAAAUUUGGGUCAGAAUUUCCUUCAGCACUUACAGGAAAGGUGGCACCGGAGGAGUUCAAAGCCAGCAUCAACCGUGUGAACAGCUGCCUGAGGAAGACCCUGCCGGUGAAUGUGCGGUGGCUGCUGUGCGGCUGCCUCUGCUGCUGUUGCACACUGGGCUUCAGUUUGUGGCCCGUCAUCUGCCUCAGCAAGAGGACAAGACGAUCUAUAGAGAAACUUCUGGAGUGGGAGAACAGCAGGCUUUACCACAAGUUGUGUUUGCAUUGGAGACUGAGCAAAAGGAAGUGUGAAACCAACAACAUGAUGGAAUACGUAAUCCUAAUAGAGUUCUUACCUAAGAUCCCCAUCUUCAGACCGGACUAGCCCGACUGCGGCUGAUCUUAAACCUCCAGCUGCUGCUCGGUCACAGAACACAAUGGCUGCCAAGCUCCCGAAUAAAAUCCCCCAAUGUUUUCGUUUACAGGGUAGCAUCGAUCCUCCGCUCCCCUCUCUUUGACCCGUUCUCCCACACAUACACCACCCUCGUUGACAAAUCCAGCACCACCAACCCUUGUUUUUUGGAGCGAAUUCCCCGCUGAGCCGCGACCUAUCGGAGCGAGCCGGGGCACCGUUGAGCCUUGCUAACCAGCACCAGCCUAUGGGAUGUUGGGGGGGGGGGGGGGGGCAGGAUUAUGGAAUUUUGGAACUGACGCUGGAAACUGGACUCUUGAACUUGAGCUACGACUGGAAGUUGUGUCACUUGUAUGUCCCCUAACCUAAGCACAUGGCACAGUCAGACCGUGAUCAAACAAAACACCUUUGCAUCUUACCGAUUGUCUCACCGGCACACUUCACCUGCAAAAAAAAUAAAUAAAAAUACACCCCAGUGCUUUUGUAGCGGUUGGUUUGGCGCUCUGGAUCCUUUUCUCGAGGCUGCGGAGGCAACAUAUCAGAACUCUGAAUGGAACCGUCAUCCGAAUGGACUCUGUAGCGGAAAGACUGGUUUUACAGGGGAGGGGAGCCAGAACAGCUGAACUCUAUAAUGUCACACUUUCUUACCAGACACCCUCUCGCCUCACCCCCCCCUGCAUCACCCCUACCCCAGUGACAAUCACACCCGUGUGUGUGUGUGUCUGUCCAGGUGAUGGGCUGGCUGCCUAGCAACUGCUUCUUGUUCGCAGUGGAACAAGAUAAGCUGGAACAAAAGUCACUAGUGAUUAAGAGUAGACACCUUUUUUAUUUUUUAGUAUCUCAAGUUUUGUUUACUAUUUUUGUGAAAGAGAGGCAGUCAAUGACUUUCACUGUAUUUGAUUUCUGUGUGCGUGUCUUUCUGAGUGAGAGAAACCGAAGCAAAAACACAAGAGACGAAUCAGACAGGAAGAGAUGCUCUUUAGGGUUCUUUCUUUGACGCAUCUCUUUGCCAUAACCGAUCUGUGUUACUUUUGUUGUAGUAAUUUAUAAAUGAGUGCGCUUUUUAUCUGCACACUCAUGAAAUGGGCCUCCAAUUCUCUUUUUUAUUAAUAUUUCUUUUGCAAACAUAUGUCAUGGUUGUUUCCUGUCUGUCCUUAUGGUCAUGUGUCAACACCAAAGCACACAAUCGGUCCUUAAAACCUUCACAUGGCCUCUGUUCCUACCUGCUAACCGUGGCUUACUUAUCGGAGGGUUUCAAGUUGAGCAUUUGGCUCUUCUGAGAAAAGUUCCCCUGUCAUAGAAAUAAUCUGACUAAUUACAUUUAGAGGUCUUGGGUCUCCAAGAGCGUUAGGUCCUCUUCGUUAGGUGUUCGGUAAUACCGGGGUUCUGGAUCAUGAAGCAGGAUUACCGACGUUAGCUUGAUAACUGCACUAAACCAGACCACUCCCAAAUCAGGAAUGUGGACUCCAUCACUAAUCCGUGUUUCUAUAUUAACAAUGAAAAAUGACUGCUGUAAGACACAGUUGGCGACUAAACUGGUGGAGCGUUUUAGCGGCUAACGAGGCAAACAUUUCCCUCGGGAGUCGGUGGAGACCAAAAACGGAGCUUAAAGGACAGAGAGUCUUGGACUUGCGUUCAUCGGGCGGCCAGAAACCUUUUGUCCAGUUACCUAGCUAACAAUGCUGCGUAGUCAUAAAGGCCUGUGCUUAUUUCUUUAAACUGUCGACGUGUUAUAGAAGGCAUCAUAGAGCACAUCUCAGUUUAAUGAAAACAUACAGUCGUCUGCCCGUUAAAAAAAAAAAAAAAAAAGAGCGUGGCAUAUAUUAAGCUUUUGUUCUCACUCAGCACACCUCAUGAUUUAUAUAAAUGUAUAUUUUAAAGCAUCCAGAGACUGAGAUUGAACAAAAACCCUUUGUUUUAGGUCACACAGCUCCAGUGAUUGUAUGGGUCACACUCAGGGGGAUUAUACUUCUCACACCCACAAGUAGUAUUGGGAGAUCUCACUGUCAGGUAUGUUCCAAAGUCACAACAGGGGUGGGGGGGAGGGGGGUAUCGAGAACACAGUGCAGGUCACACAUUACUUGAAUAGUCUGUAGUGAAAAAUGCCCCGCGAAAAAACCCAGAGACAACCAACAAGGACGUGGUCUUCCUGUUUAGAUAGUGAAGGAAACGCGUUCAUGGACCCACAAACAGCCAUUGUGUUGGUUUACAUUGUAAAAGACCCACGCUCACUUGAUUACCACUGGGCUGCCUAUCGGCUUGUCAGUCACCUUUCUAUAUUUUUGAUUAUGGUCUGUUUCGUGUUAAUCAAGGCGUAAGGCCAUAAUGAAGAUAUUUGUGGCGUGCGUGUAUGCACGGUGUGCUGAUGCAAAUGUUCUACGUAGAUCUCAGACUGUGAUUGAACCCUGCACAGAAAAGAGUCCUUUUAUAUAUAUAUAAUCUUAAGUGGUCUGUGUGUGUGUGCGUGUGUGUGUGCGAGGAAGAGAAAUAUACAUGUACAUAUGACUCAUGUGCAGAUGUACAGUAAUAAACUACCAAUAAAUAAG
This is an RNA transcript of Cyclopterus lumpus (lumpfish), 3675 nucleotides long. It is a transcript of the gene named cysteine-rich hydrophobic domain 2, with no coding region annotated. Lineage: Eukaryota; Metazoa; Chordata; Actinopteri; Perciformes; Cyclopteridae. The record is from RefSeq and is a predicted model, not a curated record. The transcript has 7 exons.